This 468-nucleotide ribosomal RNA is filed under the name uncultured bacterium. RNAcentral's name for it is "partial 16S ribosomal RNA". It matches the Rfam family "Bacterial small subunit ribosomal RNA", at positions 28 to 507 of the family's 1533-position model. The record is from RNAcentral.
GACGAACGCUGGCGGCGUGCUUAACACAUGCAAGUCGAACGGAAAGGCCCAGCUUUUGUGGGGUGCUCGAGUGGCGAACGGGUGAGUAACACGUGAGUAACCUGCCCUUGACUUUGGGAUAACUUCAGGAAACUGGGGCUAAUACCGGAUAGGAGCUCCUGCUGCAUGGUGGGGGUUGGAAAGUUUCGGCGGUUGGGGAUGGACUCGCGGCUUAUCAGCUUGUUGGUGGGGUAGUGGCUUACCAAGGCUUUGACGGGUAGCCGGCCUGAGAGGGUGACCGGCCACAUUGGGACUGAGAUACGGCCCAGACUCCUACGGGAGGCAGCAGUGGGGAAUAUUGCACAAUGGGCGGAAGCCUGAUGCAGCAACGCCGCGUGCGGGAUGUCGGCCUUCGGGUUGUAAACCGCUUUCGCCUGUGACGAAGCGUGAGUGACGGUAAUGGGUAAAGAAGCACCGGCUAACUACGUG